Molecule: ribosomal RNA, 497 nt
Filed under: uncultured bacterium
Lineage: Bacteria
Description: partial 16S ribosomal RNA
Rfam family: Bacterial small subunit ribosomal RNA
Source: RNAcentral
GAUGAACGCUGGCGGCGUGCCUAAUACAUGCAAGUCGAGCGAACAGACGAGGAGCUUGCUCCUCUGACGUUAGCGGCGGACGGGUGAGUAACACGUGGAUAACCUACCUAUAAGACUGGGAUAACUUCGGGAAACCGGAGCUAAUACCGGAUAAUAUAUUGAACCGCAUGGUUCAAUAGUGAAAUACGGUUUUGCUGUCACUUAUAGAUGGAUCCGCGCCGCAUUAGCUGGUUGGUAAGGUAACGGCUUACCAAGGCAACGAUGCGUAGCCGACCUGAGAGGGUGGUCGGCCACACUGGAACGGAGACACGGUCCAGACUCCUAGGGGAGGCAGCAGUAGGGAAUCUUCCGCAAUGGGCGAAAGCUUGACGGAGCAACGCCGCGUGAGUGAUGAAGGUCUUCGGGUCGUAAAACUCUGUUAUUAGGGAAGAACAAAUGUGUAAGUAACUAUGCACGUCUUGACGGUACCUAAUCAGAAAGCCACGGCUAACUACGUG